This is a long non-coding RNA of Lactuca sativa (garden lettuce), 2219 nucleotides long. RefSeq lists it as uncharacterized. NCBI's taxonomy places the organism in Eukaryota, Viridiplantae, Streptophyta, Magnoliopsida, Asterales, Asteraceae. The record is from RefSeq and is a predicted model, not a curated record.
UUGCCCACUACCCCCUUAUUGUUUCCUCUCAACUACAUCUCCUUUUCGGUUACCACCACCACCAAAACAUCGUCAUCAGGAAAAAUCGCCACGACUAUAACAACGUUCAUCGGCAUACAACAACUUUCGUAAAACAUCGUUUAUUGGAGCCGCACCACCAUUGCUACAUUCCCUUGAUUAUUCAAAUGUUAUUCGGAAAUCGAUUCAGAUACCCUGUCAUGGCCACCAAAAAUCGCUUCCAAAAUCGGUGUGUUCAAGAAAUGUUUGUUCGUUUCAAAAACCGUUGUGUUCUAGAUAUUUGUGUCACCACCGCCCCGCGCUUGAUUUUUAUUUGGGUCUCAUAAAUCGUUGAUCAAUUCCUCAUGUUUGAUUUUAAUUUUUGUCUUUGGUUUUGAUUUUGGAAUCGAGAUAUUGAAAUCGUUUAUAUAUUAGUGUUUUGACAUUUCUUUUGGAAUCUGGAUUUUCAGUAGGUUUUUGUUUUCAUCUUUGAUUUUGAUUUUGAAAUCGAGAUUUUCAUCAGGUUUUAGCAUUUAGGUUUAGGUUUUUGUUUUGUUAAGUUUUGAUUAUAUGUAACAGGUUUAAUUUUGAUUUGGUUUUGGUUUUGUUUUAGUUUGAUUUUCAUUCGGUUCAUCCUCUGUAAAUUGUAGAAACAAACACCAUGGUUAGAAGCUAUUCAGGUAGUCAUGGUGGCUGGUGGAGAUGUGGUGGCAGUGGUGGCUAUCGGAGACGAUGAUGAUGACUGUUUGGUUGUAUGAGUAUAAAUGAUUAAAAUUUAUUAGUGGUGGGCCUUAUCUAGUUUAUAAAAAGGUUAUAAUAACAAAAAUAAAUUAUAAAAAUGUUAAAAAUAAAAUAAAUAAGGGUGAAAGAGUCUUUUUAUGUCUGAUAGGAAUGAAAUACGCAACAAAAUAAAAUUUAAGGAACCAAGUUAAAAAAAAUACUAAGGAUCAAACGUACAAAUUAUCCCUGGUAUAGUUUACUCAAAAACUUUGGUUUGAUCACUUUUCUAAUCCUUCUCUCACUGGUCACUGCAACAGAGGUUUGAAAAAAAUAUUCACUGACAAGUGAUUCCAUUUCACCCUCAAAUCAUCAUAUAAAUAAAACCCUUACCUUAUAACCUAUUCCGACCGGCCGACUACCAUUUUCUUCAUAAAAAUAUCUACGCUGCCGGUGGAGAUAAUCAAUUCUCCAUUUUCAUGAUUCUACCAUCACCGUCGACCAUCGAUCUACACACAGUCCUUCCACCUUCUUCUCCGUUAGAACCCUAAUUUACCAACCUAAUUUAUCAACCAAUACACGCACAACCUAAUAAUUUCGUUAUCAAUAAAUCCACUACCGGUGAUGACGACAAUAGAAGGGCAAGACAGAGUCUUGGCAACGAGGUCAAGGUGGUUUUAACCGGAUUAAGUGAAGCUGCCAUCGGAACAUUCAUGGAGUUCGAGAAUGCCGUCAAAGGUGAAAAUUCCAAAAGGGCUUUACAAGCGGCGAGAUUCAUCCUGUUACACCGUAUGUCAUGAAUUACAUCAAGUUACUGGUAUCUGGUUGAUUAUAGAGAUUCGUUAAACACCCUUUUACCAAACAUUCAAGAACAUGAUCCGUGCUGUAAGGAAGCUGAUGAUAUCCACAGCGGUGAUACUCUCUCCCCUAUUUCUUGCUGUUUGCUUUCUCUAAUCACUUUGUUUAGAAUCAAACCUCGAUGAAAAAUCAAAACUUUAAACCUGGAUACAUAUUUUUGAUGAACAACAUUCUAACUACAUUGUUCAAAAGUUAAAAAAAACUCUGAGCUUUCGGGGACAGAUGGAUCUGUAAACACUGAGGGCAAAUUUGUCAUGGAGAAGGCGUUGUUGUGUAUGAAAGACACGGAAUUGGUGGUGUUGGGUCAAGUAACACAUUGAAGCUGAUUUUAAAAGAAAAAUUCAAGAACUUUAAUGUGUGUUUUGAAGAAAUUUAAAGGGUAGUCACUUUGGAAGGAAGACAUGGAAGUAAAUUUCGAGAGUGGAAGACAUGCUGGAAAAUACUUAAGGUACAAUCCUGAUGAUUAGGAGAAUCAUUUGUUUGAUUUAUUUGAAGGGAAGACUGCUGUUUUAAACAACAUAAGAAGAAAAGGUACAUAGGAAUGAUGCAAUAAUGCAAAAAGACUAUUUGUUAAUAGAUAUGUAUAUUUACUGCUUCUAGUUAUCGUUUGAGUCCAAGUUGUUGAUGAUGAUGAUGAUUUGGUGUUA